UACCAGCACCCCGAGUGGUCGGGACGAUUAUUGGGCCUAAAGCAUCCGUAGCCGGUUCUGCAAGUCUUCCGUUAAAUCCACCUGCUCAACAGAUGGGCUGCGGAGGAUACUACAGGGCUAGGAGGCGGGAGAGGCAAGCGGUACUCAGUGGGUAGGGGUAAAAUCCUCUGAUCCACUGAAGACCACCAGUGGCGAAGGCGGCUUGCCAGAACGCGCUCGACGGUGAGGGAUGAAAGCUGGGGGAGCAAACCGGAUUAGAUACCCGGGUAGUCCCAGCUGUAAACGAUGCAGACUCGGUGAUGGGUUGGCUUUGUGCCAACCCAGUGCCGCAGGGAAGCCGUUAAGUCUGCCGCCUGGGGAGUACGGUCGCAAGACUGAAACUUAAAGGAAUUGACGG
Molecule: ribosomal RNA, 397 nt
Filed under: uncultured archaeon
Lineage: Archaea
Description: bacterial SSU rRNA
Rfam family: Archaeal small subunit ribosomal RNA
Source: RNAcentral